This 503-nucleotide ribosomal RNA is filed under the name uncultured bacterium. RNAcentral's name for it is "partial 16S ribosomal RNA". It matches the Rfam family "Bacterial small subunit ribosomal RNA", at positions 30 to 523 of the family's 1533-position model. The record is from RNAcentral.
AUUGAACGCUGGCGGCAGGCUUAACACAUGCAAGUCGAGCGGGGUGAUGGUGCUUGCACUAUCACUUAGCGGCGGACGGGUGAGUAAUGCUUAGGAAUCUGCCUAUUAGUGGGGGACAACAUCUCGAAAGGGAUGCUAAUACCGCAUACGUCCUACGGGAGAAAGCAGGGGAUCACUUGUGACCUUGCGCUAAUAGAUGAGCCUAAGUCGGAUUAGCUAGUUGGUGGGGUAAAGGCCUACCAAGGCGACGAUCUGGAGCGGGUCUGAGAGGAUGAUCCGCCACACUGGGACUGAGACACGGCCCAGACUCCUACGGGAGGCAGCAGUGGGGAAUAUUGGACAAUGGGGGGAACCCUGAUCCAGCCGUGCCGCGUGUGUGAAGAAGGCCUUAUGGUUGUAAAGCACUUUAAGCGAGGAGGAGGCUCUUUUGGUUAAUACCCAAGAUGAGUGGACGUUACUCGCAGAAUAAGCACCGGCUAACUCUGUGCCAGCCGCCGCGGUAA